Molecule: small nucleolar RNA, 87 nt
Filed under: Panthera tigris altaica (Amur tiger)
Lineage: Eukaryota; Metazoa; Chordata; Mammalia; Carnivora; Felidae
Description: Small nucleolar RNA SNORA72 (ENSPTIG00000004918.1)
Rfam family: Small nucleolar RNA SNORA72
About the family: U72 is a member of the H/ACA class of snoRNAs. The snoRNA gene is located in intron 4 of the ribosomal L30 protein gene in human, mouse and chicken.
Source: RNAcentral
AUGUGUCCCCAGACUUAGUAGACCGUGCAUGUGUCCCCAGACCUAGUUAUUUCCCUAGGUCUGGUUUUAUCAAUGCUGGUGAUAAAC